Molecule: long non-coding RNA, 850 nt
Organism: Gymnodraco acuticeps
Lineage: Eukaryota; Metazoa; Chordata; Actinopteri; Perciformes; Bathydraconidae
Exons: 3
Source: RefSeq, a predicted model, not a curated record
UUAGUUUAAAACAGUCACCUUACACUUUUAGUUGUCCUCUCUAAAUUAGAUGUAAGUUUUUUUUAAAUGAUUAGUGUCAAUUAAGGGCUAUUGUUAUUUUGGUUUAUAAGGGGAUAGGAGUUCAACUUUAAAAAUUGCACAGGAUCAUUCUAAGAAGAGUGAGAGGGCUAUCUCCUCUAUGCAUUUUCUUGACCUGUAUCUGAUCUUGAAAAACUCUGUUCAGGAAAGUCUGAACCAAAUACGAAUUGGAAUAUUAGAGAGGAUUAACUAUUUUGGUGGAACCCCAUAUGAUUCAUUCCCUGUGGAAAGUGAUGAAGUUUGCAGUGUAAGCCAGCCAUCAGUGUACCAAAACCUCCCCUCUCUGGAGUUUACACACAGCAUACCUUCUGCGACAAGUGCUGAUCUAAGUUUGAUCUUCAGUGAUCCUCUCACACACCAUCCCUCAGAGAGCCAGACAGACUCGUCCCCCUGUAACGCCCCCCUUCAACAGGUCUGAUGCUAACCCCCAACACAAAUAAGGAACUCGUUUUAUUUUAAUGGCAUAUGCAGAUUUUGGCUUUUUUUCUCUUGCCAAGAUACUUUUAAACACACUUUGAGGUAUGCAAAACCUUAAAACUAGAAAAUGAAGUACAUUGUCUGAUUAGAUUUUUUCUUAAAGACUAUUUCUCUAAAAGGUAAGUUUGUGAUUUUAACAAUUUUCACUGACACUUGGCAGAUUUGUGUGUAAUUCUCUCACAAAGGAACUGUAAGAUACACUUUUUAUAUAUAAUAUAUAUAUAAUAUAAUAUAUACUAUAAUAUAUAUGCCUAUAGUUUUGUGGUAACGUUCACGGGUUAGAGUUAGGCUAGCA